GUGUAGACAUAAAGACACGCUUCUUUUCUUUCAGCAGCAACUGCUGAAGCAGAGGAAUAGGGAUUUCAUUCACCAGUGAGCGAAACUACUAGGGUUACGGUAGGCGUGAAUUAAAGAUGCCCAAAAAGAUGGGUGUGAAUUCUAAGGCUGAGGCGGCGAGGGCCCGCAAGAGCGCCGCGGAAACGGAGAAAAAAGAUCGGGAGACUCGAGAGAAGGAGGAGCAGUACUGGCGAGAGGCAGAGAGUUCAAAGCCACGCGCCGCCAAGAAGAGGGAGGAAGAGGCGGAUAAGAAGGCGGAGGCGGCGGCACGACGAGCGGAGGUACGUCGAUUGGCGGAGCUGGAGGAGAAAGAGCUGGAGAAGAUGAUUAAAAAGCCCGACAAAAAGGCAAACAGGGUGUCGAUCCCUGUGCCGAAGGUUACGGAGGCGGAGCUGAGGAAGCGGCGGGAGGAGGAGCAAGCCAUGGCUAUGAAGAAGGCGGAGGAAGCGAAGAAGAGGACGGCUGGGGAGGAUGAGUACGAGAGAGUGGUGCUUGUGUCGAAUACGAAUCGCGAUGAUUCAAUUAUCGAAGCGAGUACUCUUGACGAAGCCAUCGCUCAGAUGAGUAUCGAUAACAACUUACCCCCCGACAGGCAUCCAGAGAGGCGCCUCAAGGCUUCCUUCAAGGCAUUUGAAGAAGCUGAACUACCUAAGUUGAAGCAAGAGAAACCAGGGCUUACAUACACACAAUACAAGGACAUGAUUUGGAAGCUUUGGAAGAAAUCUCCUGACAAUCCUCUUAAUCAAAUUGCUGCUGAGUGAAUGAUGAAUCAAUAAAGUCAUGGCUUGGCGGAGUCAUUUGCAUAGCAUUUCCAUCUCAAAUUCAUGAUUAAGUUGUCAUUAACUCAUUAUACUCUUCUUUCUCACUCCCUCUCUCUAAGAAAAUGGAGAAGGAACAAUAAGCUCUGGUGCGAAGGCUGAAGGGAGAUGAAAAAUAGAAACCAAGGCGUGUGAAAAUUCUAGAAGCAGAGGCACUCGAGUCAUUUAUUUUGAUCUUAAUGGUUGAUAAUAACCCUCUCACUCCAACAUAAAAAUAUUCAUCCUCGUUGAUAUGCUCCCUAAUCCCUAUAGUGUAUAUAUGUGGAUAUGCUCUGAACACAACUGUAGAUUCCUCAAGUUAGAGAGGAUUAUGUGAA
Medicago truncatula (barrel medic) is the source of this 1174-nucleotide RNA transcript. It is a transcript of the gene named coiled-coil domain-containing protein 124, with no coding region annotated. The record is from RefSeq and is a predicted model, not a curated record. NCBI's taxonomy places the organism in Eukaryota, Viridiplantae, Streptophyta, Magnoliopsida, Fabales, Fabaceae. The transcript is spliced from 4 exons.